Molecule: long non-coding RNA, 2482 nt
Organism: Patella vulgata (common limpet)
Lineage: Eukaryota; Metazoa; Mollusca; Gastropoda; Patellidae
Exons: 3
Source: RefSeq, a predicted model, not a curated record
GACCAUAGUUACAAACAUAAAAUAUCUGUUUUAAUGUUUGUUAUUUAAAUUGUUAUACAGAAAGUAUCAGCAUUCAGUUUUUACCACAGAUAAAGUCAAUUUAAAACAGAUGUUAAAAGUACCAGGUGUGAUAAAUUGGAACAAAGAAUGUAGAUUUUCAGCCACAUCAGAAACUCUAUUUGAUGUGCUUAAAGAAGCCUCUAGAGAAAAUGGCGGUGAAUUACAUGUUCACCCUACAGCUCAUGUCUGGUCAACGGAUUUAAAUAAAUUAAAAAUUGUUCCAGUUCCAGCGGGACUUCAUCUUACGGCUUUGAACGUGGCCCAAGCUGAGUUUGUAGCAGGAAUCUGGGAUGAUAGUGGAGAUGGAACGGCAGAAUAUAUUCAGGCUCUAAUACAAGAUUAUACGUCAUUAGCCCUUUAUAAUGAAACGGAUAAUUUGAUUGGUUAUAUGUUAGAAACUAACUAUGACACCAUGGGGAUGUUGUAUGUGAAAGAGGAUUUUAGGGGUCAAGGCUUUAGUAAAGUUUUAGUGUCAAAUUUAUCUAAGCUUCUGUUAGAAAGUGGAAGAAUGGCAAAUGUUUAUAUAGAUGCGAGUAAUACUGUGUCGGCCAAAUUACACCAAGAUUUGGGUUUUGAAAUGCAAGAAGGAUGUUACAGAUAGUUGAAAUACAUCCCGGGCUGAUUCAUUCUGAUUAAAAUACAGAUCUGUAUUUCGUUUCGUUUCAAUCUGAUUAAAUUACAGAUCUAUAUUUCGUUUCGUUUUUUUAUACUUUCGAUGGCCUACACUACAUGAAGAUCUGACAAGUUAUACCGAUACGUCACGUAAGACCGACUUAUGAUCCUAUGAUGUCAGACAUUUGAUUAACCAAUGAGCAUUGAUGUUACUAGUGGAUUACCCACAGUUCCGUGCAAAACACGCCUAAAGCUCGCCGUGACAGACCGUUUCAUUGGCUUAUCCCUGACACCAUUCAGAACACGAGUUAAAUAACGGCUCUUCGAGAUCCAAGUGUAGUAAAGACACGUAAAUCGAAAUUUUGAACUAUAAAAACGAAACGAAAUAGGAUCUGUGUUUUAACCAGAUUGGUUUCGUUUUUUUUUUAUACUUUAGAUGUUAAUUGAUGUAAUUAAUUGAUGAAGAAAUUGAAUGUGUAUGGAGGACAUUGACGAUGAAUCAAUUGAAACAAUUUAAUUGAAUCAAUUAAUUGACGGAUCAAAGUUCUUUUAAUAUUUAUUGACGGCUCUUCACUUAAAUAGACCGUGUCAGAGAUCCUUUCAUCUUGAAGUUUGCAAUCAGAAUGAAAAUUAAUGCUAAAGCAUUGAUCGUGUAUGGGCAAGGUCAAUUUCGCCAACUAAGUUAUAUCAAUUAAUUGACAUCAAUUAAUUGACGAAAAUAGUGAACGUGUAUGGACCGCUUAUGGCUUCAUAAAGGACGUCAAAUUGUGAACGAAGACUGUUCAAAUCAACAACAAAGACGGAGCUCCUUUUUAAAACAUGGUUUUAACAAGCAUGAAGACACACGUUUCCAGUUUGGUUAGUUAAAUAUUUGAGGUACACGUCACAGAAGAAAGAUCUAUAUUUCGGUUCAUUAAAAACUUGUAAUGGUUUAACUGGGUGUAUGAACAGAUUGUCUGGGUGAAAAAAAUCGUAUGAAUGGCGUCUGUCUGUCGUCCAUAACGUCGUAUCAUUCAACCAAACCACGUCUGCCAUUGAAGCUAUGCCCACAACCAUAGAAGGCAGAGCAACCUCGUGCAUGACGUCACCACGGGAGAAAACUUUACAAUAAUGUCUGUAUUCUUUUUCAUAUUUACUGGGAACAUAAAACAAGUCGCAUGGACGUGAUAUGGCGAACUGUUCACUGCCCGUAGCUUGCAAGAAGUUCUCCCAGAAAGUCUUUUCGGCAUGAAGAUUCGGUCCUUUACCCAAUGAUUGUAUAUUAUCAAGAACUGCGUUGGUUUGUCGUUGAUACCACCACCACCACCCCCAAUCGUUAUGUUUUGUCGUCCGAUUUAAAAACGUAAAGCCUUCCGGUAACCAAAACUUAUCUAAUGGUAAUUUUUUCACAUUCCACGAAUUUAGCAAAACGUCCUCUCCAACUUGCAGAUAACCCUUGACCCCGAGUUUCAUCUCCAUGGCCAACAUCGUGCAUUCGUACAUAAACUUCCAUGGAUCUGUAAUAUUACGAUACGCCCCUAAAAAUAUAACGGAAGGAGUCGAACUGUUUUGUAGAAAACGGUAGAAUGUCGUAAUAUUCGGACCACAGAAUAUUAAAUGUUUAAAAUAUGGCCGAUGCAUGAGGUCUGUUAAGUUUCUAUUAAAAUAAAAUUGAUCUUGAUUAUAUGUAACUAUCAAUGCAACAUCAUCUAUUAAUGGUUGUUGCCAUGGUGAUUGGACAUUCGGGCACAUGGAAUGGUAAUGAUCCGAUUUUAUAGGAAUUUCUGAGUUCCAAUCAGGAGGAUACACAAAGUUAUAGAGAACCGGAAAU